GUACGUACGUAGUACGGUACGUACGUACGUACGUCGUACGUACGUACGUACGUACGUACGUACGUACGUCGUACGUCGUACGUACGUACG
Molecule: transfer RNA, 90 nt
Filed under: Amborella trichopoda
Lineage: Eukaryota; Viridiplantae; Streptophyta; Magnoliopsida; Amborellales; Amborellaceae
Description: tRNA AMTR_s00110t00274740
Source: RNAcentral